UACGUAAGUGGCGAGCGUUAUCCGGAAUUACUGGGCGUAAAGCGUGCGUAGGCGGUUUAGUGUGUGGGAAUUGAAAGCCCGGGGCUCAACUCCGGAUCCGGUUCCCAAACUGCUAGACUCGAGCAUAUCAGAGGACAGUGGAAUUCCCGGUGUAGCGGUAAUAUGCGUAGAUAUCGGGAGGAACACCAGUGGCGAAGGCGACUGUCUGGGGUAUUGCUGACGCUGAGGCACGAAAGCCAGGGGAGCGAACGGG
RNAcentral lists this ribosomal RNA (253 nucleotides) under uncultured bacterium. RNAcentral describes it as "partial 16S ribosomal RNA". It matches the Rfam family "Bacterial small subunit ribosomal RNA", at positions 524 to 776 of the family's 1533-position model. The record is from RNAcentral.